AUGGAGGCAGAGAAGAUCUUGUUCAUUGAUGAAAUGAAGAGCUUAAGCCAGCUUGCGCUGCCGCGGUGGAUGAUGCUUGGAGAUUUUAACAUGAUUUACAGAGCCAAUGACAAGAGCAAUAACAAUCUUAAUCUGUGCAUGAUGGGUCGCUUCAGGACUGCCAUAGAGGACAUGGGGCUAAUUGAUCUUCCACUCCUUGGAAGGCGCUUUACAUGGUCCAGUGAGCGGGAAAAUGUCACGCUCACUAAAAUUGAUAGGAUGCUUGUGUCCAGUGAUUGGGAGGCUUCGUUCCCACAGUACCAACUGUCACCAGCUUCGACGAAUGUGUCUGAUCACUGCCCCAUUAUUCUGAGAAAGAUGGAGUGCUCACACUACAAGGCGUUUAGAUUUGAGAAUCAUUGGCUAAAAGACCAAGGUUUCGAUGACAUUGUCAGCCAGGCAUGGACCAAGGAGGUCAAAUCAGCGAAUCCAGUGAGGGUGUUGCACACCAAGCUAUCUAGAACGGCGAAUGCCUUGCGUUUGUGGAACAAGCAAAGAAUGAGGUGGGUUGUUUUCAUGUCCAAGGUGGCAAGCGAAAUCAUUUUCAGGUUUGAUCUGGCCCAUGAGGAAAGAACUCUCUCUGAAGAGGAGCGUCGGUUGCGUGGACUCUUCAAGGUCAGAUUGUUGGGCCUGGCGGCAAUUGAUAGAGCGCGGUGGAGACAAAAGUCUAGACUGACAGAAAUACAAGAAGGUGAUGCAAGCACCCGAUUUUUUCAUAAAAGGGCCAGUGGGCGGUGGCGCAAGAACCACAUUCCAGCGUUGUUAGGGAGCAGUGGGCUGGUCACAGACCAGAAUGGCAAAGCUAAAAUUCUCCUCGAUAGAUUUCAAGGGCUCAUGGGGACCCCCUUCGCCGGCACAACAAAGCUGAAGUGGGAUUUCCUUGGUUUGCCAAGAAGGGACCUGCAGCAUUUGGACGCGCCGUUCACAGAGCAGGAGUUGAAGACGGCUGUUAAUGAGGUGCAUGGGGAGAAGGCGCCGGGGCCAGAUGGUUUCACGGGGGCUUUUUUCAAGCGAUGUUGGUCCAUAAUCAAAGAGGAUCUGUUGGCCGCCGUAAACUCUGUACACUCGUUGCGUGGGCAAAACUGGCAUCUGCUCAACACGAUUAACAUUGCUCUGCUGCCAAAGAAAGAAGGAGCUCAACAGGCCUCUGACUUUAGACCUAUCAGCCUAAUGCAUUCGGUUCUAAAGCUUGUGAGUAAGAUGAUGGCCUCCAGAUUGGCUCUAGAAAUUCAAUGGCUUGUCACGAACAAUCAAAGUGCUUUCAUAAGAGGUCGAGCUAUCCAAGACGAUUUCUUAUAUGUCAAGAAUGUCAUCAAGGCGGCUCAUUCUGCAAAAUUUCCCCUUGUGUUCCUGAAGUUGGAUAUAGCUAAAGCUUUUGACUCUGUGGGAUGGGGAUAUCUGCUUGAGGUCAUGGAGGUAAUGGGCUUUGGGCAGCGGUGGCGUGAUAUGGUGUCGCUCAUUUUGUCAACUUCCUCGUCAAGGGUCUUGCUCAAUGGAUCACCAGGAGUUCCCUUUCUCCAUAGACGGGGGCUGCGACAGGGGGAUCCUCUAUCCCCGCUGCUCUUCAUCAUUGCAAUGGAGCCACUGCAAAGAUUACUAACUCUGGCCACAGACAGACGAGUUCUCUCGCCUUUGAGAUCCCAUGUUGCUCGGUUCAGGUCAAGCUUUUACGCUGAUGACGCUGCUCUAUUCAUCAAUCCAACUCAGGAGGAUUUUAUGGCUGUUCAACAAAUAUUACUGCUGUUUGGUAAUGCCUCGGGCCUCACUACAAAUAUGGAGAAAACAGUGGCAUACCCUAUUGUGUGCACAACCAAUGAUAUCGCCCCCAUGAUAGCACAGUUUGGUGGGCUGCUAGGAUCUUUCCCUUGCCAGUAUUUGGGCUUGCCGCUUGGUACCAGGAAGCCGAGGAGGGCUGAGGUCCAGCCGGUGAUUGAUAAGAUUGCAGGAAAACUCUCUCCCCGAAAGGGACGCCUGAUGAACAGAAAACUACUAGGGAAAACGCUAUACACAGAGGUAUAG
This 2058-nucleotide ribosomal RNA is filed under the name Triticum aestivum (bread wheat). RNAcentral's name for it is "partial small subunit ribosomal RNA". Lineage: Eukaryota; Viridiplantae; Streptophyta; Magnoliopsida; Poales; Poaceae. The record is from RNAcentral.